GCGAAUGGCUCAUUACAACAGCUAUAAUUUACUUGUUCUAUUCCUUUAAACGGAUAACUGUGGUAAUUCUAGAGCUAAUACAUGCACCAAAGCUCCGAUCCUCGCGGAGAGGAGCGCAUUUGUUCGCCACAAAACCAAGCGCCCUUCUGGGCGUCCAGUGCUGAACCAGAACAACUCAGCUGAUCGCACGGUCUUGCACCGGCGACGUGUCUUUCAAGUGUCUGCCUUAUCAACUUUCGAUGGUAGUGUACCUGACUACCAUGGUUGUGACGGGUAACGGAGGAUAAGGGUUCGACUCCGGAGAAGGGGCCUGAGAAAUGGCCACUACGUCUAAGGAUGGCAGCAGGCGCGCAAAUUACCCACUCUCAACGCGAGGAGGUAGUGACGAGAAAUAACAAGACCGUUCUCCUACGAGGCCGGUUAUUGGAAUGGGUACAAUUUAAACCCUUUAACGAGUAUCUAUGAGAGGGCAAGUCUGGUGCCAGCAGCCGCGGUAAUUCCAGCU
Molecule: ribosomal RNA, 505 nt
Filed under: Helicotylenchus pseudorobustus
Lineage: Eukaryota; Metazoa; Nematoda; Chromadorea; Rhabditida; Hoplolaimidae
Description: SSU rRNA
Rfam family: Eukaryotic small subunit ribosomal RNA
Source: RNAcentral